AGAACGAACGCUGGCGGCAUGCCUAAUACAUGCAAGUCGAACGAACACUUCGGUGUUAGUGGCGCACGGGUGCGUAACGCGUGGGAAUCUGCCCUUGGGUUCGGAAUAACAGUUGGAAACGACUGCUAAUACCGGAUGAUAUCGAAAGAUCAAAGAUUUAUCGCCCAGGGAUGAGCCCGCGUAGGAUUAGCUAGUUGGUGAGGUAAAGGCUCACCAAGGCGACGAUCCUUAGCUGGUCUGAGAGGAUGAUCAGCCACACUGGGACUGAGACACGGCCCAGACUCCACGGGAGCAGCAGUAGGGAAUAGUUAGGACAAGUGGGCGACAAGCCUGAUCCAGCAAGUGCCGCGUGAGUGAGUGAAGUCCGUUAGGGUAGUAAAGCUU
RNAcentral lists this ribosomal RNA (384 nucleotides) under uncultured soil bacterium. RNAcentral describes it as "bacterial SSU rRNA". It matches the Rfam family "Bacterial small subunit ribosomal RNA", at positions 26 to 433 of the family's 1533-position model. The record is from RNAcentral.